Molecule: ribosomal RNA, 273 nt
Filed under: uncultured bacterium
Lineage: Bacteria
Description: partial 16S ribosomal RNA
Rfam family: Bacterial small subunit ribosomal RNA
Source: RNAcentral
CACGUAGGGCGCAAGCGUUGUCCGGAAUUAUUGGGCGUAAAGAGCUCGUAGGCGGUCUGUCGCGUCUGCUGUGAAAUCCUGGGGCUUAACUCCGGGCGGGCAGUGGAUACGGGCAGACUAGAGGCCGGUAGGGGAAAGUGGAAUUCCCGGUGUAGCGGUGAAAUGCGCAGAUAUCGGGAGGAACACCGGUGGCGAAGGCGGCUUUCUGGGCCGGACCUGACGCUGAGGAGCGAAAGCGUGGGGAGCGAACAGGAUUAGAAACCCCCGUAGUCC